This 791-nucleotide ribosomal RNA is filed under the name uncultured organism. RNAcentral describes it as "bacterial SSU rRNA". It matches the Rfam family "Bacterial small subunit ribosomal RNA", at positions 556 to 1346 of the family's 1533-position model. The record is from RNAcentral.
GGGCGUAAAGCGAGUGUAGGCGGUUUGGCAAGUCGGAUGUGAAAGCCCAGGGCCCAACCCUGGAAUUGCAUCCGAUACUGUCAGGCUAGAGUCCCGGAGAGGGUGGCGGAAUUCCCGGUGUAGGGGUGAAAUCCGUAGAUAUCGGGAGGAACACCAGUGGCGAAGGCGGCCACCUGGACGGUGACUGACGCUGAGACUCGAAAGCGUGGGUAGCAAACAGGAUUAGAUACCCUGGUAGUCCACGCCGUAAACGGUGAGUGCUCGUCGUCGUGGGUAUUGACCCCUGCGGUGACCAAGUUAACGCAUGAAGCACUCCGCCUGGGAAGUACGGUCGCAAGACUAAAACUCAAAGAAAUUGACGGGGGCCCGCACAAGCGGUGGAGCAUGUUGUUUAAUUCGAAGCAACGCGCAGAACCUUACCUGGAUUUGACAUCCUCGGAAUCUCUCUGAAAGGAGAGAGUGCCUUCGGGAGCCGAGAGACAGGUGCUGCAUGGCUGUCGUCAGCUCGUGUCGUGAGGUGUUGGGUUAAGUCCCGCAACGAGCGCAACCCCUAUCGUUAGUUGCUAGCAGUUCGGCUGAGCACUCUAGCGAGACUGCCGGUGUUAAACCGGAGGAAGGUGGGGAUGACGUCAAGUCCUCAUGGCCUUUAUGUCCAGGGCUACUAACGUGCUACAAUGGUCGGUACAGACGGUCGCGAACCCGCGAGGGCAAGCCAAUCCUAAAAAGCCGGCCUCAGUUCGGAUUGGAGUCUGCAAUUCGACUCCAUGAAGGCGGAAUCGCUAGUAAUCGCA